This 253-nucleotide ribosomal RNA is filed under the name uncultured bacterium. RNAcentral describes it as "partial 16S ribosomal RNA". It matches the Rfam family "Bacterial small subunit ribosomal RNA", at positions 524 to 776 of the family's 1533-position model. The record is from RNAcentral.
GACGAACUGUGCAAACGUUAUUCGGAAUCACUGGGCUUGAAGAGUGCGUAGGCGGUUUCGUAAGUAGGGUGUGAAAGCCCCCGGCUCAACCGGGGAAUUGCGCCCUAAACUGCGAGGCUGGAGUGAGGUAGGGGCGUGUGGAACUUCCAGUGGAGCGGUGAAAUGUGUUGAUAUUGGAAGGAACGCCGGUGGCGAAGGCGACACACUGGACCUUGUCUGACGCUGAGGCACGAAAGCCAGGGGAGCAAACGGG